ACGAGGAGUUUAAGUAGGAGGAACCGGGUUCUCUACAGGUUAGUCAGAGGUUCUCUACAGGUUCUCUACAGGUUAGUCAGAGGUUCUCUACAGGUUAGUCAGAGGUUCUCUACAGGUUCUCUACAGGUUAGUCAGAGGUUCUCUACAGGUUAGUCAGAGGUUCUCUACAGGUUCUCUACAGGUUAGUCAGAGGUUCUCUACAGGUUAAUCAGAGGUUCUCUACAGGUUAGUCAGAGGUUCUCUACAGGUUAGUCAGAGGUUCUCUACAGGUUAGUCAGAGGUUCUCUACAGGUUAAUCAGAGGUUCUCUACAGGUUCUCUACAGGUUAGUCAGAGGUUCUCUACAGGUUAGUCAGAGGUUCUCUACAGGUUCUCCAGAGGUUCUCUACAGGUUAGUCAGAGGUUCUCUACAGGUUCUCUACAGGUUAGUCAGAGGUUCUCUACAGGUUAGUCAGAGGUUCUCUACAGGUUCUCCAGAGGUUCUCUACAGGUUAGUCAGAGGUUCUCUACAGGUUAAUCAGAGGUUCUCUACAGGUUCUCCAGAGGUUCUCUACAGGUUAGUCAGAGGUUCUCUACAGGUUAGUCAGAGGUUCUCUACAGGUUAAUCAGAGGUUCUCUACAGGUUAGUCAGAGGUUCUCUACAGGUUAGUCAGAGGUUCUCUACAGGUUCUCCAGAGGUUCUCUACAGGUUAGUCAGAGGUUCUCUACAGGUUAGUCAGAGGUUCUCUACAGGUUCUCUACAGGUUAGUCAGAGGUUCUCUACAGGUUCUCUACAGGUUAGUCAGAGGUUCUCUACAGGUUCUCCAGAGGUUCUCUGCAGGUUAGUCAGAGGUUCUCUACAGGUUCUCUACAGGUUAGUCAGAGGUUCUCUACAGGUUCUCCAGAGGUUCUCUACAGGUUAAUCAGAGGUUCUCUACAGGUUCUCUGGUUCCUCAUAGCCCUGUUCCUUGGAAGGUUCUCUAAAGGUUCUCCAUGUUUCUUCUCUGCUUUGUCAUCUGUUGUGGAGAACACCAGGGGUCUGUUUCAUGAAGCAGGUUUAACAAACUGAGUUUAAUCCUGAACUCUGAGUUGAUCUAUUCUGAGACAGAAACUCUGAGUUUUCGGUUCCACAGCGGCUGGUUUGAGUUGGUUUAAUGAACUUGGAGUAGUUUCACUGGGAGUUAAGCGCGUGCACCACACCUCUGAAAAGACAGCAUCAAUGGAUCUGAAGACGUGUGUCCAUCCAUCCUCUAUACACCGCUUUAUCCUCACUAGGGUCAUGGGGGGUGCUGGAGUCUAUCCCAGCUGACUCUGGUGAAGGCAGGGGACACCCUGGACAGGUCACCAGUCUGUCACAGGGCUACAUAUACA
Acanthochromis polyacanthus (spiny chromis) is the source of this 1349-nucleotide RNA transcript. RefSeq lists it as uncharacterized. The record is from RefSeq and is a predicted model, not a curated record. The transcript is spliced from 3 exons. NCBI's taxonomy places the organism in Eukaryota, Metazoa, Chordata, Actinopteri, Pomacentridae.